Long non-coding RNA from Ictalurus punctatus (channel catfish), 634 nucleotides. RefSeq lists it as uncharacterized. The record is from RefSeq and is a predicted model, not a curated record. The transcript has 3 exons. Lineage: Eukaryota; Metazoa; Chordata; Actinopteri; Siluriformes; Ictaluridae.
CUGAUCUUCCAGCCUGGCAAAGCUGGUGUUCAGAUGGUUUUAAAUGAUGGGUCAGCUGAUUUCCCCGUCAGGCUGGUCCAUGUUUUCUUAAAGACAAUGGAACCACCACACAUGAUGAGAGAACAUCUGAUGAGAUGCCCAAUACUAGUUCAGAGAGCAACAACCCACCUCGGAAUAAAGAAUCAGAAAACCUUUAUGAAAUAAAGGAUGGCGAGCUGCAAUCUAAAGUAUGAAAUGGGGUAAUUCUCGGAGCCCACAGAUCCAGUGGACCCACAACAACUUCCCCCACUCCUGGUCGACGGAGGUCGUUCAUAUCCUUUUACAUUUUAGCUAAUUUGUGCUACCCUUACGGGACUAUUUAACCCCAAAAUGAAAAGUCUGUCAUUAUUUACUCACCCUCAUGCUAUUCUAAAAAGAAUGCAUACAAAAGAAUAUAUUUUGAAAAAAUAUCUGAGCUGGGUUUUUUUUUUUUUUUCAUACAAUCAAUGGGGAUCAGAAAAAUCACUGAAAUUCAUAACAUUUAAGUGGUCCUUACUUUAAGAUGUGCCUAUGGCAAAUCCGCAUUUAACAUUUUCUGACUUGAAGAUCCACAUUGGAGAAAACAUCUGGCUCAGAGAAGAGGGGUGGAAGAAAA